GUUUGGCAGUUGGUGUCAAGUAUGAGAGCAGUGUAUCAUGGUCCUGGACAGUUAGACAGCAGCAAGGGUAUGAUGUAUAAAGAGUUUCAAUUAUUUUGAAACCAAGAAAGAGUGAAGGAGGCAGGGAAGAGAGAACCACCUUUGGAUAAGUGCUUAAUAAAGGUGUGCCUCACAACUACAGCAAAAGUUAGGAAGCGUGAGACUGCCUUCCCUAGGAAGUAAACUUCUUAGCAUACCGAUCAGAAGAGUUUCCUCUUUGUCUUCAAUAGAUCAAUACCACUAAAGCUUCCAAAGCAUCUAUGCAACAGAGGGCUCCAUUUCAGAAUUCACCCAUGGGUUGGCUUCAAACACACCGGUCAAUACCUGCAGCUCAUCAAUUUCACAGGUCCUCUGACCAUACCUUACAUGGAUCUAAUAUCAAGAGCUCUGUCAGUUUACCUACAGAAGCGCUUCACCUGCGGCUGCACUCAGAACAUCUCGCAGAGCCAUCUGGGUGCCAUCCUUGAAUCUGGAAGACAGAAAAAGGCAUCAGGGAGCUGUUUACUAUACUUUGAACACCUGGCCUCUACUAGAACAUUGUCUGAUUUUAAACUUGUUAUCACGCCACAGAGAAUUCCAACACAGCUACCAGGUAAGGCCCAUUUAUUAAGGCAAAGUAACAAAGAAUCCCCUUGAUACUGAGAAUGACAGAACAAACUUCUGGACCU
Molecule: long non-coding RNA, 707 nt
Organism: Mus spicilegus (steppe mouse)
Lineage: Eukaryota; Metazoa; Chordata; Mammalia; Rodentia; Muridae
Source: Ensembl